AGUGAACGCUGGCGGCAGGCCUAACACAUGCAAGUCGAGCGGCAGCGCGGGGGCAACCCUGGCGGCGAGCGGCGGACGGGUGAGGAAUUCGUCGGAAUCUGCCUUUUUGUGGGGGAUAACGUAGGGAAACUUACGCUAAUACCGCAUACGUCCUACGGGAGAAAGUGGGGGACCGCAAGGCCUCACGCAGAAAGAUGAGCCGACGACCGAUUAGCUAGUUGGUGGGGUAAAGGCCCACCAAGGCGACGAUCGGUAGCUGGUCUGAGAGGAUGAUCAGCCACACUGGGACUGGGACACGGCCCAGACUCCUACGGGAGGCAGCAGUGGGGAAUAUUGGACAAUGGGCGCAAGCCUGAUCCAGCCAUGCCGCGUGUGUGAAGAAGGCCUUCGGGUUGUAAAGCACUUUUGUCCGGAAAGAAAUCCCUGGAGCUAAUACCUUCGGGGGAUGACGGUACCGGAAGAAUAAGCACCGGCUAACUUCGUG
This 484-nucleotide ribosomal RNA is filed under the name uncultured bacterium. RNAcentral describes it as "partial 16S ribosomal RNA". It matches the Rfam family "Bacterial small subunit ribosomal RNA", at positions 29 to 507 of the family's 1533-position model. The record is from RNAcentral.